AAAGUCGAAAUUAUGACCCGGACAUACCUUUACAAACAUUAAGUUAUAUGCAAUAUAAAAUUAGGUAACCCUGGUCCAGGUCAAAAUCCCGUCACCAAAAUGCCGACAGUUAAAAUUCCGAAUUGGUCGAAAUACCGACAUUCACAUACCGUACACUCGAAGAGGCUGCGUAUAGGCAAUUUUAAAAUCUGUUAACUUACUAUGGUACAUUUAUGUUUGGGUUUUUACAAGGACAAUGAGGCGCACUCAAGUAUUC
This is a non-coding RNA of Cinara cedri, 256 nucleotides long. The record is from the annotation of a GenBank genome assembly. NCBI's taxonomy places the organism in Eukaryota, Metazoa, Arthropoda, Insecta, Hemiptera, Aphididae.